GCUGGUGUAGCUUAACCAAAGCAUGACGCUGAAGACGUUAAGAUGGGUCGUAAAGACUCCACCCGCACA
This 69-nucleotide transfer RNA is filed under the name Jenkinsia sp. CL54. Its description in RNAcentral is "tRNA-Phe". It matches the Rfam family "tRNA". Rfam says of the family: Transfer RNA (tRNA) molecules are approximately 80 nucleotides in length. Their secondary structure includes four short double-helical elements and three loops (D, anti-codon, and T loops). The record is from RNAcentral. Lineage: Eukaryota; Metazoa; Chordata; Actinopteri; Clupeiformes; Clupeidae.